RNAcentral lists this ribosomal RNA (1319 nucleotides) under Lacticaseibacillus rhamnosus. RNAcentral's name for it is "bacterial SSU rRNA". It matches the Rfam family "Bacterial small subunit ribosomal RNA", at positions 94 to 1400 of the family's 1533-position model. Lineage: Bacteria; Bacillati; Bacillota; Bacilli; Lactobacillales; Lactobacillaceae. The record is from RNAcentral.
AGGGGCGGACGGGUGAGUAACACGUGGGUAACCUGCCCUUAAGUGGGGGAUAACAUUUGGAAACAGAUGCUAAUACCGCAUAAAUCCAAGAACCGCAUGGUUCUUGGCUGAAAGAUGGCGUAAGCUAUCGCUUUUGGAUGGACCCGCGGCGUAUUAGCUAGUUGGUGAGGUAACGGCUCACCAAGGCAAUGAUACGUAGCCGAACUGAGAGGUUGAUCGGCCACAUUGGGACUGAGACACGGCCCAAACUCCUACGGGAGGCAGCAGUAGGGAAUCUUCCACAAUGGACGCAAGUCUGAUGGAGCAACGCCGCGUGAGUGAAGAAGGCUUUCGGGUCGUAAAACUCUGUUGUUGGAGAAGAAUGGUCGGCAGAGUAACUGUUGUCGGCGUGACGGUAUCCAACCAGAAAGCCACGGCUAACUACGUGCCAGCAGCCGCGGUAAUACGUAGGUGGCAAGCGUUAUCCGGAUUUAUUGGGCGUAAAGCGAGCGCAGGCGGUUUUUUAAGUCUGAUGUGAAAGCCCUCGGCUUAACCGAGGAAGUGCAUCGGAAACUGGGAAACUUGAGUGCAGAAGAGGACAGUGGAACUCCAUGUGUAGCGGUGAAAUGCGUAGAUAUAUGGAAGAACACCAGUGGCGAAGGCGGCUGUCUGGUCUGUAACUGACGCUGAGGCUCGAAAGCAUGGGUAGCGAACAGGAUUAGAUACCCUGGUAGUCCAUGCCGUAAACGAUGAAUGCUAGGUGUUGGAGGGUUUCCGCCCUUCAGUGCCGCAGCUAACGCAUUAAGCAUUCCGCCUGGGGAGUACGACCGCAAGGUUGAAACUCAAAGGAAUUGACGGGGGCCCGCACAAGCGGUGGAGCAUGUGGUUUAAUUCGAAGCAACGCGAAGAACCUUACCAGGUCUUGACAUCUUUUGAUCACCUGAGAGAUCAGGUUUCCCCUUCGGGGGCAAAAUGACAGGUGGUGCAUGGUUGUCGUCAGCUCGUGUCGUGAGAUGUUGGGUUAAGUCCCGCAACGAGCGCAACCCUUAUGACUAGUUGCCAGCAUUUAGUUGGGCACUCUAGUAAGACUGCCGGUGACAAACCGGAGGAAGGUGGGGAUGACGUCAAAUCAUCAUGCCCCUUAUGACCUGGGCUACACACGUGCUACAAUGGAUGGUACAACGAGUUGCGAGACCGCGAGGUCAAGCUAAUCUCUUAAAGCCAUUCUCAGUUCGGACUGUAGGCUGCAACUCGCCUACACGAAGUCGGAAUCGCUAGUAAUCGCGGAUCAGCACGCCGCGGUGAAUACGUUCCCGGGCCUUGUACACACCGCCCGUCAC